Molecule: non-coding RNA, 1032 nt
Organism: Microcebus murinus (gray mouse lemur)
Lineage: Eukaryota; Metazoa; Chordata; Mammalia; Primates; Cheirogaleidae
Source: RefSeq, a predicted model, not a curated record
UAAGAAAAGCAGCCUCAUGGAAGAACUCUUUGGAUCGGGCUACGUCUUACAAAAUGACCAGUCAAGCCGUGCUGUGACGAAAGGAUCUGAGGAGACUCUGAAAAGUAAGGAGACGCUUCACCUGCCUCCCAGUCAGGCCUCCGCCAGCAAUGCUUUUGGAGACUCUAAAGUAACUGUGCUGAAAGGAUGAAGCACAAUGGCCACAACUUUGUUACAGACUAAAAUCCAACAGGUAAUUCCAACACCACCUGAAAACAAAGAAAUCCAACAUGAGAGAGCAUGCCAGCAGCACUGCCCACACUGCCUGCCUCUGCUACCUUUAACUUGCAGGAAAUAAGGGUAUUUCAAUUCCUUUUGAGUCCUUCGAAAGACUAAGUUAGUGUUUUGUCGGUCCGAAAUAGUCAGACUUUCUAUAGCAUCACAGGGCUGUGUUCUUUCCUAAGCAGGAAUUACACUGAACAAUAGAUACUGGUUUGAAUUUCCCUUUCCUGCCAGAGAGAUGUGUAUUACUAUUUAUGAUAUUAACAUUAUAAGGCCACCCUGUAAGACUACUUAUUUUUCCUUCCUCAAAGAAGCAUUAUAAACAAGGCAAGGUUUGCCCAUGCCUUUCUUGCCCCGCUGACGAUGGAGAGACACCUUCACCCGCUGUCCGCAGGCUUGAGAGUGGCCCAUGGGCUCUGCAGGAGGCUUGGAAGGGCGGCCUGUUGCUCCUUUGGUCAGCAGCGCAAAGGCCCUGGCCUGGGCCCAGCUGUGUCACAGGAAAGGGAAGCAGAAGGGGAGGGGACGGGGGUCAUGGCUAAACUGUAAGUCUUUGAAACAGUCAUUGCUUGCGACUAUUAAUUAACCUCCAGCAUAAUCAAAAAUUACAGCCGAAGACCAACUGAUACAGAUGUGUGCCACAGCAUUAUCUUUAAUACCAAAUGUUAGGACCUAAAUAAACAUCCCUCAUCAGGGAAAUCAGCAAAUUACGACACAUUCAAAUGAAGAAGAGCUAUUAAAAAUUCCUUAAUAAAGAAGUUUAUUGAUAUGGUG